CCUACGGGAGGCUGCAGUGGGGAAUAUUGGACAAUGGGGGCAACCCUGAUCCAGCCAUGCCGCGUGUGUGAAGAAGGCCCUCGGGUGGUAAAGCACUUUCAGUGAGGAAGAACGCCUGGUGGUUAAUACCCAUCAGGAAAGACAUCACUCCCAGAAGAACCACCGGCUAACUCCGUGCCAGCAGCCGCGGUAAUACGGAGGGUGCGAGCGUUAAUCGGAAUUACUGGGCGUAAAGCGCGCGUAGGUGGCUUGAUAAGCCGGUUGUGAAAGCCCCGGGCUCAACCUGGGAACGGCAUCCGGAACUGUCAAGCUAGAGUGCAGGAGAGGAAGGUAGAAUUCCCGGUGUAGCGGUGAAAUGCGUAGAGAUCGGGAGGAAUACCAGUGGCGAAGGCGGCCUUCUGGACUGACACUGACACUGAGGUGCGAAAGCGUGGGUAGCAAACAGGAUUAGAUACCCUAGUAGUC
RNAcentral lists this ribosomal RNA (465 nucleotides) under Vreelandella stevensii. RNAcentral describes it as "partial 16S ribosomal RNA". It matches the Rfam family "Bacterial small subunit ribosomal RNA", at positions 338 to 795 of the family's 1533-position model. The record is from RNAcentral. Lineage: Bacteria; Pseudomonadati; Pseudomonadota; Gammaproteobacteria; Oceanospirillales; Halomonadaceae.